GAUGAGCGCUGGCGGCGUGCCUAAUACAUGCAAGUCGAGCGAACGGACGAGAAGCUUGCUUUUCUGAUGUUAGCGGCGGACGGGUGAGUAACACGUGGAUAACCUACCUAUAAGACUGGGAUAACUUCGGGAAACCGGAGCUAAUACCGGAUAAUAUUUUGAACCGCAUGGUUCAAAAGUGAAAGACGGUCUUGCUGUCACUUAUAGAUGGAUCCGCGCUGCAUUAGCUAGUUGGUAAGGUAACGGCUUACCAAGGCAACGAUGCAUAGCCGACCUGAGAGGGUGAUCGGCCACACUGGAACUGAGACACGGUCCAGACUCCUACGGGAGGCAGCAGUAGGGAAUCUUCCGCAAUGGGCGAAAGCCUGACGGAGCAACGCCGCGUGAGUGAUGAAGGUCUUCGGAUCGUAAAACUCUGUUAUUAGGGAAGAACAUAUGUGUAAGUAACUGUGAACAUCUUGACGGUACCUAAUCAGAAAGCCACGGCUAACUACGUG
Molecule: ribosomal RNA, 497 nt
Filed under: uncultured bacterium
Lineage: Bacteria
Description: partial 16S ribosomal RNA
Rfam family: Bacterial small subunit ribosomal RNA
Source: RNAcentral